Molecule: ribosomal RNA, 476 nt
Filed under: Poeonoma serrata
Lineage: Eukaryota; Metazoa; Arthropoda; Insecta; Lepidoptera; Noctuidae
Description: partial 16S large subunit ribosomal RNA
Source: RNAcentral
UGUCUUUUUGAGAAUAAUAUAAGGUCUAAUCUGCCCACUGAUUUAAAUUGAAGGGCUGCAGUAUAUUGACUGUACAAAGGUAGCAUAAUCAUUAGUCAUUUAAUUGAUGACUUGUAUGAAGGAUUGGAUGAAAUAUAAACUGUCUCUUUAUUAAUAAUAGAAUUUAAUUUUUUAAUUAAAAAGUUAAAAUAUUUUAAAAAGACGAGAAGACCCUAUAGAGUUUUAUAAAUAAAAUAAUUAAGAUUAUUUAAUUUAAUAAAAUUAAGAUUAUAUUAUUUAUUUUGUUGGGGUGACAGAAAAAUAUAUUUAACUUUUUUUUUUAUUUAAAACAUUUAUAAGUGGUUAAAUGAUCCAAUAUUAUUGAUUAUAAGAAAAAAUUACCUUAGGGAUAACAGCGUAAUUUUUUUUUUUAGUUCAAAUAAGAAAAAGAGUUUGCGACCUCGAUGUUGGAUUAAGAUAAAAUUUAAAUGCAGAAG